AAACUGAAGAGUUUGAUCCUGGCUCAGAUUGAACGCUGGCGGCAUGCCUAACACAUGCAAGUCGAACGGUAACGACUUCAUUACCUUCGGGUAAUGAAGGGCGACGAGUGGCGGACGGGUGAGUAACGCAUAGGAAUCUGCCCAGUAGUGGGGGACAACUCCGGGAAACCGGAGCUAAUACCGCAUACGCCCUACGGGGGAAAGCGGGGGAUCUUCGGACCUCGCGCUAUUGGAUGAGCCUAUGUCUGAUUAGCUUGUUGGUAGGGUAACGGCCUACCAAGGCAACGAUCAGUAGCUGGUCUGAGAGGAUGAUCAGCCACACUGCGACUGAGACACGGCGCAUACUCCUACGGGAGGCAGCAGUGGGGAAUAUUGCACAAUGGGCGCAAGCCUGAUGCAGCAAUGCCGCGUGUGUGAAGAAGGCCUGCGGGUUGUAAAGCACUUUCAGUAGCGAAGAAAAGCCCGGGGUUAAUAGCCUCGAGUCUUGACGUUAGCUACACAAGAAGCACCGGCUAACUCCGUGCCAGCAGCCGCGGUAAUACGGAGGGUGCGAGC
This 555-nucleotide ribosomal RNA is filed under the name Gammaproteobacteria bacterium. Its description in RNAcentral is "bacterial SSU rRNA". It matches the Rfam family "Bacterial small subunit ribosomal RNA", at positions 1 to 539 of the family's 1533-position model. The record is from RNAcentral. Lineage: Bacteria; Pseudomonadati; Pseudomonadota; Gammaproteobacteria.